UACGGGGGGGGCAAGCGUUGUUCGGAAUUACUGGGCGUAAAGGGCUCGUAGGCGGCCAACUAAGUCAGACGUGAAAUCCCUCGGCUUAACCGGGGAACUGCGUCUGAUACUGGAUGGCUUGAGAUUGGGAGAGGGAUGCGGAAUUCCAGGUGUAGCGGUGAAAUGCGUAGAUAUCUGGAGGAACACCGGUGGCGAAGGCUCCAUCCUGGACCAACACUGACGCUGAGGAGCGAAAGCCAGGGGAGCAAACGGG
This 253-nucleotide ribosomal RNA is filed under the name uncultured bacterium. Its description in RNAcentral is "partial 16S ribosomal RNA". It matches the Rfam family "Bacterial small subunit ribosomal RNA", at positions 524 to 776 of the family's 1533-position model. The record is from RNAcentral.